AGUCGAGCGGUAGCACAGAGAGCUUGCUCUCGGGUGACGAGCGGCGGACGGGUGAGUAAUGUCUGGGAAACUGCCUGAUGGAGGGGGAUAACUACUGGAAACGGUAGCUAAUACCGCAUAACGUCGCAAGACCAAAGUGGGGGACCUUCGGGCCUCAUGCCAUCAGAUGUGCCCAGAUGGGAUUAGCUAGUAGGUGGGGUAAUGGCUCACCUAGGCGACGAUCCCUAGCUGGUCUGAGAGGAUGACCAGCCACACUGGAACUGAGACACGGUCCAGACUCCUACGGGAGGCAGCAGUGGGGAAUAUUGCACAAUGGGCGCAAGCCUGAUGCAGCCAUGCCGCGUGUAUGAAGAAGGCCUUCGGGUUGUAAAGUACUUUCAGCGAGGAGGAAGGCGUUAAGGUUAAUAACCUUGGCGAUUGACGUUACUCGCAGAAGAAGCACCGGCUAACUCCGUGCCAGCAGCCGCGGUAAUACGGAGGGUGCAAGCGUUAAUCGGAAUUACUGGGCGUAAAGCGCACGCAGGCGGUCUGUCAAGUCGGAUGUGAAAUCCCCGGGCUCAACCUGGGAACUGCAUUCGAAACUGGCAGGCUAGAGUCUUGUAGAGGGGGGUAGAAUUCCAGGUGUAGCGGUGAAAUGCGUAGAGAUCUGGAGGAAUACCGGUGGCGAAGGCGGCCCCCUGGACAAAGACUGACGCUCAGGUGCGAAAGCGUGGGGAGCAAACAGGAUUAGAUACCCUGGUAGUCCACGCCGUAAACGAUGUCGACUUGGAGGUUGUGCCCUUGAGGCGUGGCUUCCGGAGCUAACGCGUUAAGUCGACCGCCUGGGGAGUACGGCCGCAAGGUUAAAACUCAAAUGAAUUGACGGGGGCCCGCACAAGCGGUGGAGCAUGUGGUUUAAUUCGAUGCAACGCGAAGAACCUUACCUACUCUUGACAUCCAGAGAACUUAGCAGAGAUGCUUUGGUGCCUUCGGGAACUCUGAGACAGGUGCUGCAUGGCUGUCGUCAGCUCGUGUUGUGAAAUGUUGGGUUAAGUCCCGCAACGAGCGCAACCCUUAUCCUUUGUUGCCAGCGGUCCGGCCGGGAACUCAAAGGAGACUGCCAGUGAUAAACUGGAGGAAGGUGGGGAUGACGUCAAGUCAUCAUGGCCCUUACGAGUAGGGCUACACACGUGCUACAAUGGCAUAUACAAAGAGAAGCGACCUCGCGAGAGCAAGCGGACCUCAUAAAGUAUGUCGUAGUCCGGAUUGGAGUCUGCAACUCGACUCCAUGAAGUCGGAAUCGCUAGUAAUCGUAGAUCAGAAUGCUACGGUGAAUACGUUCCCGGGCCUUGUACACACCGCCCGUCACACCAUGGGAGUGGGUUGCAAAAGAAGUAGGUAGCUUAACCUUCG
This 1392-nucleotide ribosomal RNA is filed under the name Klebsiella aerogenes. Its description in RNAcentral is "bacterial SSU rRNA". It matches the Rfam family "Bacterial small subunit ribosomal RNA". The record is from RNAcentral. Lineage: Bacteria; Pseudomonadati; Pseudomonadota; Gammaproteobacteria; Enterobacterales; Enterobacteriaceae.